This 276-nucleotide ribosomal RNA is filed under the name uncultured bacterium. RNAcentral describes it as "partial 16S ribosomal RNA". It matches the Rfam family "Bacterial small subunit ribosomal RNA", at positions 77 to 353 of the family's 1533-position model. The record is from RNAcentral.
GCUAAGUUUGAUGGCGACCGGCGCACGGGUGAGUAACACGUAUCCAACCUGCCCUUUACUCGGGGAUAGCCUUUCGAAAGAAAGAUUAAUACCCGAUGGCAUAAUGAUUCCGCAUGGUUUCAUUAUUAAAGGAUUCCGGUAAAGGAUGGGGAUGCGUUCCAUUAGGUUGUUGGUGAGGUAACGGCUCACCAAGCCUUCGAUGGAUAGGGGUUCUGAGGGGAAGGUCCCCCACAUUGGAACUGAGACACGGUCCAAACUCCUACGGGAGGCAGCAUG